Molecule: long non-coding RNA, 768 nt
Filed under: Theobroma cacao (cacao)
Lineage: Eukaryota; Viridiplantae; Streptophyta; Magnoliopsida; Malvales; Malvaceae
Description: long non-coding RNA (TCAC_LNC005796)
Source: RNAcentral
UUAUGUUAUGUUUUGUUUUCUUUCCUGCUUUCAUCUGCUGGUCUUGAUGAUACAAUAACUAUCAGGGAUUUCUAUGUUGCUCAGACUUUGGAGGAAGUGUGUCGGAUAAGGAUAUGUGUCUGACAUGGGUGCGUACAAUAUUUCUAUGGUUUUUCCCUUAUAUUUGGAGGGUCUCGAGGCCCCAUUCCCAUGCCCACUUUGAGGUUCAGAUAAGUGUCUGAUACAGGUACUUGAAGAAGCAACAUAGGGAGAUUUGGCUACCUUGUGAGUUUGUUUAUUUUCAUUUCACUUCUUAUAGUAGUUAGUACUUAGUAUUAAACUAGCUUUAAGUAUAAGUCCGUUAAUUUAACUACUGGAUAUAAUUUCACCAGAUGCAUCUCUAGGUCUAGCUAGGAGCUUUAUGCCAGUACAUCUUUAUCUUAUGUAUGUAUAGUUGGUUAAGCACUUGGAUGGAUACUUUCACAAAUUACGAGAAUUCCUGCUACACCUACAGCGCCUAGUCGCAGAUUCCUCUUCUGCAGGUAGACAAAUUUCUUCUGCAGAUUGUUUUGUUAGGUCAUCCUGAAUGCCAUACCUCAUCAUAAAAUGCCAUCCUGUGUAACUGAUAGGGUUGCAUGUGAACUACGUCUUGCUAUAUGAUCCUGUCUUGUGUAAAUAAGAUAUGAGCUAGAGAGUGAUGCUGAUACACUUUAGUAGAUUCAAUCAGUACCAUCUUGUUUAAACUAAACAUUGAAAAAAAUUAGGAUGAAAGUCACAAUGGUAAUAGGU